CUUCAUUCACACCUUCAUCUUUUUCUUCCUCUGCCUAUAUUAAUGUCUGCAAAAUAUGACAAUUUGGUGGGCUUAAAAGUUUCUUGGGCCGCGAUAACAAUUUGGACCUCGAAACCGAUUCACCAAGGUUCCGCUUCUAAAUUUAUGGAGGAUAGACGAUGUGGAAAAUUGAAGGACUCCGUCAAUGUGCUAAAUUCCACACAAAUUCAUAACGAUAAAGUUGAAGAAGACCAAAUUGUUAGAGAAGAGGUAUCUUAUUUUUUUGCAUGUUCUGUGUCUUGCAUGUUUAGUUGAAUUUGCUUAGUAACUUUAAAGAUUCAAAUAAAUACAUGUUACAAUGCGUUUGUACUAUUAUAGAAUAGAUUUGGAAGUGUAUACGAAAUUUUGAUUUUGUUAGAGUUAUUAUGUAUUUUUGUAUUUCAUAUAUUUAUUGUAUUUUGUAUUCUGAUUAUUUUUGUGUGUUAGUUAUGUCAAUGAAACACAUAUUAUGCGUUUG
Solanum lycopersicum (tomato) is the source of this 496-nucleotide non-coding RNA. The record is from RefSeq and is a predicted model, not a curated record. NCBI's taxonomy places the organism in Eukaryota, Viridiplantae, Streptophyta, Magnoliopsida, Solanales, Solanaceae.